UGGUUCCUUGGUCAAGCGGUUAAGACGCCGCCCUCUCACGGCGGAAACAGGGGUUCGAUUCCCCUAGGGACUGU
Molecule: transfer RNA, 74 nt
Filed under: Lachnospiraceae bacterium
Lineage: Bacteria; Bacillati; Bacillota; Clostridia; Lachnospirales; Lachnospiraceae
Description: tRNA-Glu
Rfam family: tRNA
About the family: Transfer RNA (tRNA) molecules are approximately 80 nucleotides in length. Their secondary structure includes four short double-helical elements and three loops (D, anti-codon, and T loops). Further hydrogen bonds mediate the characteristic L-shaped molecular structure. tRNAs have two regions of fundamental functional importance: the anti-codon, which is responsible for specific mRNA codon recognition, and the 3' end, to which the tRNAs corresponding amino acid is attached (by aminoacyl-tRNA synthetases). tRNAs cope with the degeneracy of the genetic code in two manners: having more than one tRNA (with a specific anti-codon) for a particular amino acid; and 'wobble' base-pairing, i.e. permitting non-standard base-pairing at the 3rd anti-codon position.
Source: RNAcentral